AGGACGAACGCUGGCGGCGUGCUUAACACAUGCAAGUGGAGCGACGAACCAGGGCUUGCCCUGGGGCAGAGCCGCGAACGGGUGAGUAACACGUGGGUUACCUGCCUCGAUGACCGGGACAACCCGAGGAAACUCGGGCUAAUACCGGAUGUGCCCGCAAGGGGAAAGGAAGCUUCGGCCUCCGCAUCGAGAUGGGCCCGCGGCCCAUUAGCUUGUUGGUGAGGUAACGGCUCACCAAGGCUUCGAUGGGUAGCUGGUCUGAGAGGACGAUCAGCCACACUGGGACUGAGACACGGCCCAGACUCCUACGGGAGGCAGCAGUGGGGAAUCUUGCGCAAUGCGCGAAAGCGUGACGCAGCAACGCCGCGUGGGGGAAGACGGCUUUCGGGUUGUAAACCCCUUUCAGUUGGGACGAAGCUUCGCCGGUGAAUAGCCGGCCGGAGUGACGGUACCUUCACAAGAAGCACCGGCUAACUACGUGCCAGCAGCCGC
This 492-nucleotide ribosomal RNA is filed under the name uncultured bacterium. RNAcentral describes it as "SSU rRNA". It matches the Rfam family "Bacterial small subunit ribosomal RNA", at positions 26 to 518 of the family's 1533-position model. The record is from RNAcentral.